Molecule: ribosomal RNA, 429 nt
Filed under: uncultured archaeon
Lineage: Archaea
Description: bacterial SSU rRNA
Rfam family: Archaeal small subunit ribosomal RNA
Source: RNAcentral
UACCUGCAGCUCGAGUGGUAACCGCUAUCAUUGGGCCUAAAGCGUCCGUAGCCGGUUUAUUAAAUGCUUGGGUAAAUCGUGUAGCUUAACUAUACGAAUUCCGGGUAGACUGAUAGACUUGAGACCGGGAGAAGCUAGAGGUACUCCUGGGGUAGAGGUGAAAUUCUGUAAUCCUGGGGGGACCACCAGUGGCGAAGGCGUCUAGCUAGAACGGGUCUGACGGUGAGGAACGAAGCCCUGGGGCGCAAACCGGAUUAGAUACCCGGGUAGUCCAGGGUGUAAACGCUGCUUGCUUGAUGUUAGUUGGGCUCCGAGCCCAAUUAGUGUCGGAGAGAAGUUGUUAAGCAAGCUGCCUGGGAAGUACGAUCGCAAGAUUGAAACUUAAAGGAAUUGGGCGGGGAGCACAGCAACGGGUGGAGCGUGCGGUUU